AUAACAUCUAAGCAGAGCAUGGCCCAUGGAAAAUAAAAGGCCUGAGAAGUAUAUGUAAAGUUAGAAACUCACAAUAAAAGGGAAGCUGUAACAUAUGCUUGAAAGAGGAUAAAAAGCAGCACAGUUUACUGGAAAAAGCCAUUAUUAUGAAGGUUCAUAAAGUUUAUGUUCCAUGGGAAAAUCACAACCAACAAACAAACCAACAAACCAGCUGUGCAUCAAGAGGAGCAAGUCCGAGAUCCUUCAACUCUCUAUAUGUUGUUACCCUUACAUGUGCAAUGGUCAACAUCGCAUACAAGUUUCUUUAGGUAAGGUUUCUUUCUCGGG
Andrographis paniculata is the source of this 327-nucleotide long non-coding RNA. RefSeq lists it as uncharacterized. NCBI's taxonomy places the organism in Eukaryota, Viridiplantae, Streptophyta, Magnoliopsida, Lamiales, Acanthaceae. The transcript is spliced from 3 exons. The record is from RefSeq and is a predicted model, not a curated record.